Molecule: long non-coding RNA, 1467 nt
Filed under: Monodelphis domestica (gray short-tailed opossum)
Lineage: Eukaryota; Metazoa; Chordata; Mammalia; Didelphimorphia; Didelphidae
Description: lncRNA (ENSMODG00000045564.1)
Source: RNAcentral
AUGAUCUCAUCAUUACAUAUCUCAUUCUGCUUCUCCAGCCAGAUUGUGAUGGACAGGGACUAUGUCUAUUUUUAGCAUUGUAUCCUUCCCCUUGCCUUACCAUAUGUAUGGAAUGUAGGACCUCCUAUAGAGCAGGUGAUUAAUAAUUGUAUGUUGAAUUGAAAUUGAUUGAAUAAAUAGUACAUAAGACCUUCAGCUGAAAAAGAUCAUAGAGAAAACCUGAUCAGAUUCUCAUAUCUUACAAAUGAGGCAACUGAGGUCCUUGGAAGGGAAGAGAUAAUCGAAUCCUCCUUCUGGAGCUCAAAGAAAGCUCAGGCACCAUCUAGCCCAGCCCCUUCCUUUUACAGAGAAGGAAGCUAAGGUCCAAAAAGCAUCUUGCUUCAGGCCAUUGGGGAAGUGCAGGUGUACCAGGUCCUUUGCUGCCCAGAGCAGGCUUCUUUCUAUUAGAUUCCAUUGCUUACUGAGCUUUCAGCCCAGUUCUGCUUCUGCCUUCCUGCCACUGCAGGUUUGUGCAGGGCAAUGAUGAGCCCAGCAGGGGAGAGACAGCAAUCAGUUCAGUCUCCUGUUCUUUCCACUCUUGAUAGAGGUGUGUGGUCUGACUUCCAUUCCUUCUCGGCAGGGAGUGCGCUGCCAAGGCAAGCUUACACAUCGCCUGGUAGAUGCUUUGCAGACAGGAAUGGCUUUUGCUGCAAAGGCAGAAUUGGACUGAGUCACUUUGGGUCAACAGAAUAAAAUGGUUCCUUGCAGCUCAAUUAGUCUUUUCUUAAACCUGGCUCAGGUUUCAGCUGUUGACAUAAAACAGAAGUGAUGCUAGACUUGUUAGACUCCCCUCCCCGUCACAAUAUGGAGUAUUGUGCCUUGUUCUGGGCACCAUAUUUUAAGGAAGAUGCUGACAAAUUGGAGCACAUCCAGAGUACGGUGGGGCAACAGGGGCAAUAGCAAGGAGGCCCUGCCAUCCAAGGAACUGUGGGCACUAAACUUGAAGAAAAGAAGACUAAUGGGCAAUGUAUAUUCAGGAAAUCAAUCAAUAGUGGGGGAGGAGGAAUCUGAAUUUUUUUUUUUAAUGCAUCAUGGACUCUUCCACAGAAAAGUGAAGCCUAAUGGUAUCUUCUCACAAUAAUACUUUUAAAUACUUAAGCUAAAAUACCAAAUGUUACAAAUGACAUUUUAUAUUGUAACACAUAUAUCAAAAUAUUAAACUAAUGAACAAAUCAAGUUCAUGGCCACUAAAUUAAGAACACUUAGUCUAUAGUUUUCUUUCUCUGCUUUUUUGCUUCCUGACUUUGGUAUCAAGACAAUAUUUUAGUCAUAGAGUUUAGAAGUAUCUCUUCUCUUAUUUUUGCAAAUAGUUUAUGUAGUGUAAGAAUUAUUCGUUCUUUGAAUGUUUGACAAAAUUCACUUGUUCACAUGGUCCAGAAUUUUUUUCCUUCAGGAAUUCAUCUUCCACAUCUAUUUUUAAACUGGGUU